This 496-nucleotide ribosomal RNA is filed under the name uncultured bacterium. Its description in RNAcentral is "partial 16S ribosomal RNA". It matches the Rfam family "Bacterial small subunit ribosomal RNA", at positions 29 to 507 of the family's 1533-position model. The record is from RNAcentral.
AUGAACGCUGGCGGCGUGCCUAAUACCUGCAAGUCGAGCGAACAGACGAGGAGCUUGCUCCUCUGACGUUAGCGGCGGACGGGUGAGUAACACGUGGAUAACCUACCUAUAAGACUGGGAUAACUUCGGGAAACCGGAGCUAAUACCGGAUAAUAUAUUGAACCGCAUGGUUCAAUAGUGAAAGACGGUUUUGCUGUCACUUAUAGAUGGAUCCGCGCCGCAUUAGCUAGUUGGUAAGGUAACGGCUUACCAAGGCGACGAUGCGUAGCCGACCUGAGAGGGUGGUCGGCCACACUGGAACUGAGACACGGUCCAGACUCCUACGGGAGGCAGCAGUAGGGAAUCUUCCGCAAUGGGCGAAAGCCUGACGGAGCAACGCCGCGUGAGUGAUGAAGGUCUUCGGAUCGUAAAACUCUGUUAUUAGGGAAGAACAAAUGUGUAAGUAACUAUGCACGUCUUGACGGUACCUAAUCAGAAAGCCACGGCUAACUACGUG